UUUUGGAUGAUGAAAAGAAUCAUUCGGAUUCCCAAUGAUAUUUUUAUAUGAUAUCAACCAGCUAUUUCUGACCAAA
Small nucleolar RNA from Ziziphus jujuba (common jujube), 76 nucleotides. RefSeq annotates it as small nucleolar RNA R12. The record is from RefSeq and is a predicted model, not a curated record. Lineage: Eukaryota; Viridiplantae; Streptophyta; Magnoliopsida; Rosales; Rhamnaceae. The transcript has a single exon.